Medicago truncatula (barrel medic) is the source of this 541-nucleotide long non-coding RNA. RefSeq lists it as uncharacterized. Lineage: Eukaryota; Viridiplantae; Streptophyta; Magnoliopsida; Fabales; Fabaceae. The transcript has 3 exons. The record is from RefSeq and is a predicted model, not a curated record.
AAGACCAUAUAUAAAUUGUUGUAGGUUUUUUAGGCAAUUGGGAUUUUUGAGCUUUUUAAUUUUAUUUUAUUGUUCUGCUUGCAGGUAGUGUGAAGUUGAAAUAAUAUUUAACAAUAUGUAAGGGCUUCAUUUGAUAGUACAAAGAAAUGCACAAUUAUAGGCUUCCUUGGCAAAAUAAAGGCCUUAUUUGAAGGUUUUCUUUUGUGCUUUUAUUUGUGGACUGGUCGAGUUAAUUGAAAGACAACUCUGCAUGUUGUUUAGACAUCUUUGUUGUAGGACCUACCCGUAAAUGGAUCCUUUGAGAAGAUGUGAUAUUAAAUUGUUAAUCCAUUAAUGUAUGCUCCAGUUGAGACUGCUUAUGCCUAAUAUUCGUGAGCCUAUCUUCAAUUGAGACCGUUAAUGACUAAUAUUGUUAUGGGACCUGUCCGUCAAUAUGUCUUUUGAUUACACGUGUUAUGGCAUUGUUGAUGCAUUUAUUAUAUGCUCCAAUAGUGAUUGCGAAUGUUUGUUAUUUCUAAACACAUUGUUAACUUAUUCGUAC